GAGAGCAUAGUUCAAUGGUAAAACAUCUCCUUGCCAAUGACAAGAUACGAGUUUAACUCUCGUCGUUGUGA
This 71-nucleotide transfer RNA is filed under the name Triticum aestivum (bread wheat). It matches the Rfam family "tRNA". Rfam says of the family: Transfer RNA (tRNA) molecules are approximately 80 nucleotides in length. Their secondary structure includes four short double-helical elements and three loops (D, anti-codon, and T loops). Further hydrogen bonds mediate the characteristic L-shaped molecular structure. tRNAs have two regions of fundamental functional importance: the anti-codon, which is responsible for specific mRNA codon recognition, and the 3' end, to which the tRNAs corresponding amino acid is attached (by aminoacyl-tRNA synthetases). tRNAs cope with the degeneracy of the genetic code in two manners: having more than one tRNA (with a specific anti-codon) for a particular amino acid; and 'wobble' base-pairing, i.e. permitting non-standard base-pairing at the 3rd anti-codon position. RNAcentral also lists the same sequence under 1 other name. Lineage: Eukaryota; Viridiplantae; Streptophyta; Magnoliopsida; Poales; Poaceae. The record is from Rfam by way of RNAcentral.